GAUCCUCAGAAAGACAUAUGGGGGUUUUCCUCAGAACCUAAAUUCUCAUAGCAACAGCAGCGUAGCUGAACAUCUUACGGAUGGCCCAGGGCUCCAAAGGCUCGUUUCCUAAGUGAGAGAGAGCCUGGCUGAAGCUGUAUUACCAUUCAUUCUCCAGCCUCCGAAGUCUCAAAGCAUCACUUCCACCAUACUCUAACUGUCAAGACAAACACAAAGGCCCAGAAACUGCCAGACUGUCUUCCGAAGUGGCUAUAAUAUUUACACUCACAUCAGCAGUGUAGAAGGGGUCUCACUAUGUUGUCUGGAGUGCAGUGGCUGGAGUGGAGUGGCUAUUCACAGCUGAGUUUGCAGAGUAAACCACUACCCUGAAAUCUGGAAAGGCAGGUGCACCCAUAGAUCCUCAGCUGAGAUCCAAUUACCUGAAAUAGAAGCUGCCAUUAGGAACACUUAAAAG
RNAcentral lists this long non-coding RNA (454 nucleotides) under Pan troglodytes (chimpanzee). Its description in RNAcentral is "lincRNA". Lineage: Eukaryota; Metazoa; Chordata; Mammalia; Primates; Hominidae. The record is from RNAcentral.